This 253-nucleotide ribosomal RNA is filed under the name uncultured bacterium. RNAcentral describes it as "partial 16S ribosomal RNA". It matches the Rfam family "Bacterial small subunit ribosomal RNA", at positions 524 to 776 of the family's 1533-position model. The record is from RNAcentral.
UACGGAGGGUGCGAGCGUUACCCGGAUUUACUGGGUGUAAAGGGCGUGUAGGCGGUCUUUCAAGUCCGAUGCUAAAGACCGAAGCUCAACUUCGGGGGUGCGUUGGAUACUGUGAGGCUAGACGGUCGGAGAGGGUAGCGGAAUUUCCGGAGUAGCGGUGAAAUGCGCAGAUACCGGAAGGAACGCCGAUAGUGAAAGCAGCUACCGGGUCGAUUUGUGACCCUGAGGUGCGAAAGCGUGGGGAGCAAACCGG